CCUCUAUUCACCGCUCUCUCUCUCCCUCCUUAAUCUUCUUCCGCGGCAGAUUUUUCCCAGGCGCCGCGGGCGAUAUUUCCUGGAGGCCGCACCCUUCUUCUUCACAGCGACCAAGCUGCAUCUCCGGCGCUCCUCCAGCUCGGUGCCCAGUCGCUCAGCUCGCAGCGUUCUCUCUGCCCGGCCGUCGUCAAGCUCCCUGCGCGCGCCCCAUCUCGCCGCGCUCAACUCCAGCUCGCCAGCCACGGCAUCUCCUAGCUCCCUGUGCGAGCGCCUGCUUCCUGGCCGCGUCCUCUGCUCCGUCGUCCCCAGCGCCGGCCAAGUCCCUCCAUCGCGGCGCCCCUGCUCGGUUUUCUCCAUGGCGCCGGAUCCCCUGCAAGCUCGCUCAAGUCGCCGCGCUCGGUGCUUCCUGCGCACGCCGGUCCUAGCUUGGCCGACCGCGCAGGCUUCCUACUCCCUGGCCGCCGCGCCACUCAGCUGCCUGCUCUGCUCGCCGCGCGCGCUCCUCUCUGCUGCCGCAUCUCCGGCCCAGCUCGGACUCCAGCUCCCACGUUCGUCGCCGGUCUUCCCUGCGCCUGGCCUUCAGCUCGCCUAAGGCGGCUUCCUCUGCCGGCCGUGCGUUCACCCAGACCCGCGCCGUCCCUGUUCCUCGCCUCUGCACCCAGCCGCGCCCUGCGCACUUCUCUGUUUGGCCAUGUCGCUCCUCCCUGCUAGUCGCAAGCUGUCGAGCUCCUAUCUCCUGUGCGCGCCUCUGUUCCUGGCCGUGCUCGGAUCCAGCCCAGCUCGCCCUUGUGCUGGCCGUGUGCUCCUCGUCCAGCUCGGUCGCGACCUUGCCGUCGUUCCGUGUGCUUAGCCAUCAGUGUUCACCGGCCAUCACGACAUCCCCAGUCUAUCGCGCCAUGCUUCGGUCGUCGUCUACAUCGUCGUCUGGCCGGUAGUGGUCGCCACUAGCUCGCUUUCGUUCAAAUCGCCACCGCGAAUACUUGAGUCUCUGGUCGUGUGUCUUCUAUCUCGCGCUAGUCUCGUCCGCUGCCUCGUCAAUGCCGUCGUCGUCCUCCCUCACGGCGUUGUUGUUUACCCCGCUACUAUAGUUGUGCCUCAUGCGCUGCUCGUCUGAAAUGACCAGGCCAAGUGAACAUCCUGCGCGACUCAAGUUCGAUUCGUCAAAAUUAUUCAGUCGAGAAGAUCUUCAGCAAUUGAUUACUGAAGAAAAGAAGGCCCCUCGAUGACGUCUACCUAGUACUCGACGGAAAGUCUGAAGUAGAAUUUAUCACUGUGUCCGUGGAAGUGGAGCGACUUAAUAUUGGUACGAUAAUUGAUCACGUGAUGCGGAGAACCAGAGCUGAGUCGACCACAAGAGGAUGGAAAGUGCGAGCUUCUCCAUAAGAUGAAGCUGAUGGACCAACCGGAAGAUGGAUAAUCGGAACAAAUGCGAAGACAAAAGAUGGUCGUCGAGCGGACGUCAUCUAACAAACACUAACGUAGUGUUUAUUCCAGGCAAGCCCCGGUGCAUGCAACCCCUUCCUUGUGUUUUUAAAUUAUUUUUACACACUUUAAUUCUAGUGAAUGUGCAUUAGGUUUAUAGGAGUUCCUUAAAAACCCUUUGAUGCAUUGCCUACCUUGAUAUCCAU
This 1628-nucleotide unclassified non-coding RNA is filed under the name Zea mays. RNAcentral describes it as "misc RNA Zm00001eb050190". Lineage: Eukaryota; Viridiplantae; Streptophyta; Magnoliopsida; Poales; Poaceae. The record is from RNAcentral.